AUUGAACGCUGGCGGCAUGCCUUACACAUGCAAGUCGAACGGUAACGGGCCUUCGGGUGCCGACGAGUGGCGAACGGGUGAGUAAUACAUCGGAACGUGCCCGAUCGUGGGGGAUAACGAGGCGAAAGCUUUGCUAAUACCGCAUACGAUCUACGGAUGAAAGCAGGGGACCGCAAGGCCUUGCGCGGACGGAGCGGCCGAUGGCAGAUUAGGUAGUUGGUGGGAUAAAAGCUUACCAAGCCGACGAUCUGUAGCUGGUCUGAGAGGAUGAUCAGCCACACUGGACUUGGGCCCGGGCCAGACUCCUACGGGAGGCAGCAGUGGGGAAUUUUGGACAAUGGGCGCAAGCCUGAUCCAGCCAUGCCGCGUGCAGGAUGAAGGCCUUCGGGUUGUAAACUGCUUUUGUACGGAACGAAAAGCCUUCUUUUAAUACAGGAGGGUCAUGACGGUACCGUAAGAAUAAGCACCGGCUAACUACGUG
This 481-nucleotide ribosomal RNA is filed under the name uncultured bacterium. RNAcentral describes it as "partial 16S ribosomal RNA". It matches the Rfam family "Bacterial small subunit ribosomal RNA", at positions 30 to 507 of the family's 1533-position model. The record is from RNAcentral.